This 302-nucleotide unclassified non-coding RNA is filed under the name uncultured Actinomycetes bacterium. Its description in RNAcentral is "uncultured actinobacterium partial 16S-23S ribosomal RNA intergenic spacer". Lineage: Bacteria; Bacillati; Actinomycetota; Actinomycetes. The record is from RNAcentral.
UUCCCCAUUCGGACAUCCUCGGAUCCACGCUCGGUUGACAGCUCCCCGAGGCAUAUCGCAGCCUCCCACGUCCUUCAUCGGCUCCUGAUGCCAAGGCAUCCACCAUGUGCCCUUAAACACUUACAAACACAAAAAACAUACUCAAACAAAAACGCUACAAAUCAGCAAUUUUGCUUAGAUGCUCGCAACCACUAUCCAAUAAACAAACACCACACCCCACCACCAAGUGAGGCGACAACACACCACCCCAAGACCCCAACAGGCCUGGGGACAACACCAGGUGUUGUCUCAGGACCCAACAG